Molecule: ribosomal RNA, 323 nt
Filed under: uncultured bacterium
Lineage: Bacteria
Description: bacterial SSU rRNA
Rfam family: Bacterial small subunit ribosomal RNA
Source: RNAcentral
ACUCCUACGGGAGGCAGCAGUGGGGAAUCUUGCGCAAUGGGCGAAAGCCUGACGCAGCCAUGCCGCGUGGAUGAUGAAGGUCUUAGGAUUGUAAAAUCCUUUCACCGGGGACGAUAAUGACGGUACCCGGAGAAGAAGCCCCGGCUAACUUCGUGCCAGCAGCCGCGGUAAUACGAAGGGGGCUAGCGUUGCUCGGAAUUACUGGGGCGUAAAGGGCGCGUAGGCGGACAGUUAAGUUGGGGGUGAAAGCCCGGGGCUCAACCUCGGAAAUGCCUUCAAUACUGGCUGUCUUGAGUACGGGAGAGGUGAGUGGAACUCCGAGU